Long non-coding RNA from Cucurbita moschata (crookneck pumpkin), 2805 nucleotides. RefSeq lists it as uncharacterized. The transcript is spliced from 2 exons. NCBI's taxonomy places the organism in Eukaryota, Viridiplantae, Streptophyta, Magnoliopsida, Cucurbitales, Cucurbitaceae. The record is from RefSeq and is a predicted model, not a curated record.
GAAAAAGAAAAAAGAAAACCCCGCGCCAUAAUUAACGAAUGGAGGGAACAAUAUGAAUCCAGAAUUGAAGGAUUCGUAAUUUUUGUGUUCACCCUUCUUGUUCGAUACAUCUCUCUGUCUUUGCUAAAGACUCGAAUGGACCAAACCCUAUUUGAACCUCAUUCUCCACCGAUUCCAAUCAUUUCAUUUUCAGUCGAUGAUAAAGCAGGGGAGCGCUGUGGAGGCAUUAGAAGCAGUGGAACCGCUUAGAGUUUGAUUUUCCUUUACCCUGCAUCUUUCGAUUUAGUUUUCAAUUAUUGAUCUCAUGUUUGUGUUGAUAAUGUUCUAGUGUUGCUCUUCUCUAUUAGAGAUCUUCUUGUUGCUUGCUUUUAAUUAACUGUUAUCUCUUCAAGUAUAAAGCAUGUGAUGCAUAUUGGUACCGUGAAUCGGUUCUGUUUGGAACUCUAUUCUUUACUUUCUGACACGGUCGCCUGGUCCUAGCGAAAAGAAUUUUGUUUUCCCACGUGGCUCGAUAUGACUACAGAAAGUUACUCAAAAGAAUGCAAUAAUUGAGAUUCAAGUUAGGAUUGGGAAGGGAUGGCCUUAAUCCAUUGAGGGGGCGUUUGGAGCAAGAAGUGAAGUUAUUUAAUCUUGAGUUGUUUAGCUUCGGGAGUUAACUAAUCUGAGGAAUUAUUUAAUCUGUGUUUGGGGUGAAUUUGGAGGUGUGGAGUCAACCAUUUUAUUCCUUCACUUCUCUAUUUGAUAUAUUGAUGAGGUAGUGAUAAGUUUCUGAGCUAAUCUUGACGUGUUGAAGGUGUGAGCCUAUAGUUUUGAAGUGGGGUGUGAAGUGAAGUUAGUCUUUGUCAUGUCAAAUGCAAUUUUGAUUGGAUAAUCAUGAAUGUUGGAGUCAACUUAUGUGCACUGCAGCAAUAUCGAAGGACAACUGCGGUAGUGAACAGACAUUUGGCGUUGAAAAACUAAACAAAUACUUGACAUCUUAGGUAGACAACAUUUAAAGUCUCAACCCGUGACUUUUACUCUCUUCGACCACCAAGCUGGUUCAUUGUGGUUCAUGUCAAAUGUAUUGAAACUCACAUGAUCCAUUGCAUUAAGAAUUAUCUAUAUGAGAAAUUAAGCAUUCAAUGAUUCAAAUCAACAAUGAGAUUUUUGGGGAUGAGACUUAAUGUCUUUGGUAGCUAAGUUAAUGCCUCAAAUGGCAUAAAGUCAUCGUUUGUAUUGGAAGAUCGAUUAUUAAAAGCCAUAUUUGGUAUUCAAAUAUCCACUUAAAAGGAAAUCAGGAAAGAAAUACCAAUAAGAAAUAGGGUUUGAGUUAUUGAGGCGAGAUGGACCUAUUCCUCAGAGGAAUUAACACAGGACAAGUAAUCCAAAGGUGGCCCCGUAAUGUUGUUUCAUCCAAUAUGGUAUGUUCUUUGUUGUCAAAGUGUAGGGAGUCAAUAUCACUUGCCUUUUUAGUCUCUACUGUUUGAACACCCUUUUUAGAAAUUGUAUGAACUGGGUUUGACAAUGCUACUAAGGAUAAUAUCAUACAUUUAUCUGUGGGCAAAGGGUUAGAAAACACGGCAGAACUCUCUUGAUGAAUAGAGGAAAGGAUUUGCUCCGGAAAUUCGGCCACAUCCCCUCGAUAAGAUAAUAAAGAAAAGGAAAAAGGUGCAUCUGCGGGCCUUGUCAAAUUUUGUAGCUUAUUUUUGGUCAACUAUUUUGUAAUUAAUUAUUCUUGGUGCAGUUUUUUAUUUGCUACUUUCAUUGGGGACUUUUCUCUUCUUUUAUAACUCCGACCAUAUUAGUUAGAACCGAUGUCUCUUGUUAAAAAAAAAAAUGUAGAAAGGAACAAAGGGAACUAGAAAGGAAUAAGUUCCCAUUUGUGCCCUUGGUAUCGUGAGGGAAAUGCACACAUGCAAAUCUCAAAUGCAAUUUAGUUCCUUUGUGCUAAACAUUAAACAGGCCUGAGAUACGGAAAUGGAUGUUAUUUUUGGAACUAUGUCUUGAGUCAUUCAAAUGGUUAAGAUGAUCUUCGUUUUGUGUUAACUAGAAUCUAAAAGACUUCUUGUUUGUUUUGGGGAUAUUUCAAAGCAUGAACUGAUUUGAAGUUUCUCUACUUCAAACAUUUCAGUUUUCUCAACUAUUCUUUCCAUUAGUUUAGUUGGAAAAAGGAACCUGUCGGCUGUCAUCAACUUUAGUCUGAGGGAAUAUGUCAAUGCAUCUUGGACGCAACAAAUACAAGUGUCCUGAAGAACAUUGGAGGAUGCUCAUUAUUUCCGCUGUAGGACACCGCCAUAUGGCAUCUUUUUUUUAUCAUCCAAUUCAGAUUCUGAUGUUUCAGAUAGCAUUCACAUAUUGAUUAUCAGAGAAAUUGAUUGGGACCAUUGAGGCGCUCUACUUGCCAAUUGUAUGGUUCAAAAUUUGGUAAGGUAAAUCAAGCAUGUCAACCAAGCAGAGGAGAGGAGGUAUUGGUACGUAGAUACAUGUACCUUUAGAGACCCAGUUGCUAAUCAAUACCCUUUCUCCAUCUCUAUCAACUCAGCUUAAUAGAAUUGUGUGAACUUGUAUCCGGAUUUGCAUUUAUUAUCACUCAUGUUCAGACCUGAUCAGUCUGAGUUGACAAUAAAUAGCUGUAUGCAGAGAUAUAGACUAGCAAGAAGAGAGUGGCGUGCACCAAAUCUAGUGCAGAGGAUUCUUUUUCAAUGGUAUCAAACAUUCAACGAUGCCUCAAGUCUUUUCUUCAAAGUGGGCUCACAAACUUGUUGGGGGAGAGAAUUAAACUCGAAAAUAGAGUAGGGUUGUCUGUGUAAGGAUCCUAUCUAUAAA